Molecule: non-coding RNA, 451 nt
Organism: Kogia breviceps (pygmy sperm whale)
Lineage: Eukaryota; Metazoa; Chordata; Mammalia; Artiodactyla; Physeteridae
Source: RefSeq, a predicted model, not a curated record
GUUCUGUCGCUAAUCAUCUCAGUUCGGAUGUGGAAAGUUCUUCUGUGCUGUAUGCAAAGGCACCUGUCAUCUUGGCUAUUGGAAGAAAUAUCACCAGACCGGAGCACAGCCAUCUCUCCGUCGUGAUUGGAGGCAUCGUGGAAGCACCCCAGCGACCAAACGUGACCAUCCAAUGUCCUGUAAAAGACUCUAGGUCCACCCACAUGUCUACAAAUGACCCAAUUUUGCUCGACAUCACUAAUUAUUAGAGAAAUGCAAAUCAAAACUACAAUGAGGUAUCACGUCACACCGGUCAGAAUGGCCGUCUCCAAGAAGAGCCCGAACGCUUUCAAUUCGAUACACUCUUCCGAGCACCUCCUACAUGCUCAGCUGACAGCAAGGAGCUCCCAGAAUGACGCGAUACUGACCAUGACAUAACGUUGUCAAUGCAAUAGUGUCCGCACGAAUAAAA